GAUGAACGCUGGCGGCGUGCCUAAUACAUGCAAGUCGAGCGAACAGACGAGGAGCUUGCUCCUCUGACGUUAGCGGCGGACGGGUGAGUAACACGUGGAUAACCUACCUAUAAGACUGGGAUAAAUUCGGGAAACCGGAGCUAAUACCGGAUAAUAUAUUGAACCGCAUGGUUCAAUAGUGAAAGACGGUUUUGCUGUCACUUAUAGAUGGAUCCGCGCCGCAUUAGCUAGUUGGUAAGGUAACGGCUUACCAAGGCGACGAUGCGUAGCCGACCUGAGAGGGUGAUCGGCCACACUGGAACGAAGACACGGUCCAGACGCCUACGGGAGGCAGCAGUAGGGAAUCUUCCGCGAUGGGCGAAAGCCUGACGGAGCAACGCCGCGGGAGUGAUGAAGGUCUUCGGAUCGUAAAACUCUGUUAUUAGGGAAGAACAAAUGUGUAAGUAACUAUGCACGUCUUGACGGUACCUAAUCAGAAAGCCAGGGCUAACUACGUG
RNAcentral lists this ribosomal RNA (497 nucleotides) under uncultured bacterium. RNAcentral's name for it is "partial 16S ribosomal RNA". It matches the Rfam family "Bacterial small subunit ribosomal RNA", at positions 28 to 507 of the family's 1533-position model. The record is from RNAcentral.